Molecule: non-coding RNA, 47 nt
Filed under: Parabacteroides johnsonii
Lineage: Bacteria; Pseudomonadati; Bacteroidota; Bacteroidia; Bacteroidales; Tannerellaceae
Source: RNAcentral
GUUGUAAUUUGUUUUCAUUUUAGUAUCUUUGAACCAUUGGAAACAAC